AGAGAUAAUUAUAAAACCCAUGUUUAAUAUACCUUAAGUAUAAACUUUUUUAAUCACAAACUAGGUACACGUUUUAUGUAUCAGAAUUAAGCUACACGCCUCAGAUAUUCAGUGUUUAGUAAUGAUAAUGCAUAUAUAUUUAAGAACAACUCUUUACAUAAAAAAUUACCAUACUAUUAUUUAGUUCUAAGCAAAGUUUUUAAAUAAAUAGGCUUCUUAAAUAAAUUAUUUUCUGAAUUUACAAUAUCUUUAUAGUAUAAAUACGUUAAAUAUAUUUCUUUCAUAAAAGGUAAUUUAAAUUAGCUUAAGCAACACUAUUUCGCCAUGCUCAAUAGUAGGGUUGCCAUAUUCCCUGAUUUGUCAGUGAAUUUCCUGAUUUUGACUUCGGCACUGAUUCCCUAAUUUUCGUGAAAAAUUAUUCCCUAGUUUCCUCCUCAAUCGCCAAUUUUUUUUAAUUUUUUCGAGCGCACAUAUGCAACUGGACUGACUUUGACUGAGACCCAUAUGUUAAUCCAACUCAAUAGUAAUACUGGAUAUUUGAAGAUAUUUGAAUACUGUCGGUAUUUUGAUGGGUCGGUAUCUUGAGCUUCGGUAUGUUUAUGCAGCUUGCAGAUUGAAAUAACUAAAUAGAUACGGAUACAAACAAAUUGUAUUGCAAAAAUAUAAAUUAGGCUGUGAAUAAGCAUUUUCUGGACCCCACUAUUUGGCUUGGUUGCUUAUUUACACCUAACAUUUUUCUGUGAACAUUUAUUAACUUACCACAGUUAAAAAGAGGCAUAAAUAAAAAAACUUAAUUAUUAAUGUAUUUUCUCAUAAUAUCUUCUUCUUUAAGAAUAUAUAUUAAAAUAAUACGAUUUUCUUUUGAAAAUAUAUUACAGUUUUAUAAGUAGCCCAUAUUUUUGGCACAACUUUUCUAUACAUUUUGGAAAAUAACACAGUGCAACCAUUUUCCGGUUAAAAGUUGGUCAUCUUGGAUGCCAGUAGAAACUCAACCCCGGACUCUCCUUGACGUUUCUACAGUGUCAUACUGAUUAUUUUGGUUUUUCACUUUUUAACGUUCGCUGCCGAUGUUCAUUGUCUUCGUUAAGUCAGUGCCCCCGUUUAUGGUAUCUUUUUAUAGUAGUAAUCCCACUAUGUAUGUAUAUUCGAUUGAUCAAACCGAGUUGCGUGCACUUGUGAAUGAUGGUUACGUGAAUCCAAACGAUUUUGGGAAGUUAUAUUACUGUCUACAUGCACGGGGGGUUCACGACACUGCAUGAAUACACACAAGAUGGGAUUAUAUACCCUCGGAUGGUGGUGAUGCCAGUUGUAAAAAUUCAUUUUAGUUACAAUUGGAAAAACUUUUCUCAAGUUGUUGACUUUUCUACGUACAAAUGCAAGACAGAUUUAUAUAUCUACUUAUAUAAAAAAGAAAAGAUACUUGUGACCAUAAUAUGUAUUUUCUUUAAACAUAUUGCAGUUCCAUUUAAUGAAAAUGCUUAUAUAAAUAUAUUAUGUGUGAUAUUUUCAGUUUGGUAGUGGUACCAAAAUAUUCAAUUGAGUUUUUUUUUCUAUAAUUGUUUUGUUAAAUUUUAAAGAUCUAAGCUGCCUCUGGAAAUGUAUUAAAAUAAUAAUACACGCUUUAGAAAGGGAACACAUAUUUUCCAAAAAUAAAAAAUAAAAACUUAUAAAUUUGCUAGGUAUGACAAUAUAAUUGAGAGUGUCUUAGCACACAAAUGUAAUACAAACGCUAAUUUGUGUGCUGAACGCUCAUUCGAGCAUAUGUAUUUAAAGAAACAGUGGUUAAUAAACUGAAGUUAUUAUUGAAAUUACUUUUUUGCUUCGAAAAUUAUAUCGAUGUUUAGAAGCACCUACACUGUAAAACAUUUUUUUUUAAUAAUGAAAUUAAACAAACAUAAAAUAAUAAGUAGGUUAUCUGAUUUAAAUUUUGCUACAAUAAUGCGUGGAACUACUGAAAAUGAGGUUAAACCACACAUAGAAUUUAUUAUUUCAAAUAAACUACGUUAAAUGCUGUUAUAAAGAUAUAUCAAAAAAAAUAUUACUAAAAUAAAAUAUUUGUUAUACAUUUUAUUAUAGAUUUAUAAUAGUUAUAAAGAAACUUAAAAUUGUUAGGCAAUUUUACAAUUGUUACCCACAGUGCAACUUCCCAUUUAAGCGUGCUCUCAUUUGUAAAUAUGGAGUGAUAAAAUACGUUGCUGUCACUUCCCUCUUCAUGUUUGCCCGCGAUGAUCCUCUCAUCUAGCCCUCAAUGUGCACGCGUGCCCAAGCGGUGCAAAAUGUCACUGAGGGGCAAUAUGCUCACCUCUGAUUUACGCAAUGUACGAUCAUAGAAAGCAUUCGUUUAUGUGGAAAGAAUUUUCCCAAUAAACCAACAAAAACUACAAAUAACUUCAUUGGCUUAUGCCUGGUUUUCACUAGGUCAUAUUUGACGUCAAAUGUUGUCAAAAUAAUGAAAACGGGUUGUCAUUUGCGUUUGCCGGCAUAUUUGGCAGUGUACGGUCAUUUCAAAUGACAGUCAAAUGAAAACAAUCAAUGUUCGAUAUGUGGCAACAUUUGACAACUAAUUUUGGCAAUUAUUUUCGUUUGCCGCACAAACAGCAGUUACAAAAAUUAAAAACAAAAACGGUUUUUCAAAUUUCAAGUUUCAAAUAUGGAGGAAGAAAUGAAUUCAGAAAUUCAAAGUUGCAGCCAAAUGGAACAGCCUUCGCUGCUCUUUUCGCUUAAGCGGCCUUCAACCGAAAGGCACAUACAAAAAGUGGUCAAGGUGCUGGAAGAACGCCUACAAUGAACCCACUUUAUAAUUCCUUAAAGUUCCUGGAGCCAACCUUGCGUGUUGAAGCGAAGACGACAACAAAUUUAUUUAAUGCAAGUAUACGCAUUUAUGCAUACAUAUGUCUGUAAAAAUAAUACUAUUUGUUUUCAAUGUGCAUAUUUGUUUUUACAGGGCAACGCGUCGACCCUGACCCCUGGAACAAUAUUAGUUGAGGCGCAAGAUGCAAGUUUAUCUGGUGAAAUGCAACCAACGCCAUCCACUUCAUUCAAUUUAGGGAGACGUCGAGCUCGUGAUGAUGAUGAGUACAUUCAAGUGGUGGAACGUGCACUGGAGACCCUCACAUCAGCUACUAAAAGUGACGCUUGGGAUGAUUUGGGAAAUUUUGUUUCAUCCAAUGGCCGAGAGUUGGCCCAAGAAUCUAAAGGAACAUGAAAAUAUUUUGUAUUUGCAAAAUAACUUAAAUUAUAGAAUUACAUAUUUAUAAAAGAGGAAAGUACUACAAAGACGAAUUAUGUAAUAUCGUCCUAUUAUAUUGCCAUUCAACUUCUCCAUGAGGAGUUAUGAAAUACUCCAUAAAACUUUCACGGACAUUUAUCGCGCUGUCUGCUGGCCUACCUAAAAUACUGCUUGGCCGAACUGAUGGAAGCAUUCCAUUUUCUCCCAACUCCAUUCGCCAAUUACCUGGAUCAGUAAUGCCAUUUGUAUCUUUGUCUACAUCAGAUCAUCGUAUAUAUAUAGACUUGCGUCUUAACAAAUAAUUACGCAAUAUGCAAAUCGCGAGAACAAUCCUUUGAGUGUUCGAAAACGUGAUGCACAUAUGCCGAACACAUUUUCCACAACAUUUCUGGCUCUGGAUAGCAUAUAAUUAAAUAUUUUGUACGACAUAACUUGAUUGCGGAAGCUAAAUGGUUUCAUCAAGUACGUUUUUAACGGAAAAGCGUCGUCAGCUACAAUGACAAAUGUCAUUUCAUCACGUUCAUGUGGAAGUGGUUUCGGCGACGGAAAAUUUAACUUGUUUUCUGCAAGAGCCAUUGAAAGAGCACAUCUGAAUAUGUUACAAUAGUAAGAUAUUUUAAUUAUGAACAUUUAAUGUUAUUAUUUUGUAAUAGCUUUACCUUGCGAAAACGCCUCCAUCAGAUUCACGACCAUAAGCUCCAACAUCUACAUACAAAAGUUUGUAGUCCGCAUCAACCAUAGCCAUCAGAACAAUGCUAUUAUAUUUCUUAUAAUUGAAAUAUUCUGAAUCGCAGUUCGCAGGCACUUGAAUCGCUAUGUGCUUUCCAUCCAAUGCCCCACAGCAGUUAGGGAAAUGCCAUCGCUGGUAAAAAUGAUCCGAUACUUUUGUCCAUUCCUCAUGAGUGUCGGGAACCUUAUUAGAAUCCACAUUAUAUUUUUUCACAAACUAACGAACAGAUAUGAAUACUCACUUUUAAAAACUCAUUCUUUAACCACACGUGUUAUGCACUAUAUGGCAGAUGGUAGUUUUCCCCAAUAGAAAAACACUCAUCAAACUCGAGAAGUUAUCACCUGUGGCUAAAUAGCGUAGUGUUACCGGCAGUCUUUCACCGACCGAGAUCGCUUCACGGAAUCGUGUGUUUCUUUUGUAAAUAAAUGGAGUAAGACGCACCACUAAAAAAUCGAAAUCUUCCAGAGUCAUCUUCAGGAAGUUCUUCAACCACUUUUGGUCCUGAGAAACCAGCUUGGAUCGAAGUGUGGAGUAAAAUCCACUGGUGCAACGAGUCCUUAAUCCUGGUCUCAUCCACCACUGCUUUGGUUUCCUUUGCUGAGUCCUUUUCUUUUUCCAAGCUUUUAAUGACAAUAUAAGACAUAACGCCGCAGUUACUAUUGUAAUUUUUCUAUUUUUAUUAAUUUUUACACUUUCACGCACUUAUUUGAAAAUAAUUAUAUUUUCAAUUUAACAGCUGUCAAAAUUGCCUGUUCACAAUUGACAUAAAUGAAAACAGGUGGUCAAUCAUCUGACACCAAAAAUUGACGAAAGUUUUUGAAAGGCACUGCAGUAUCGACAUUCAGUCAGUUUGGAUGUUGUAAUGAAAACGCAUUUGCCACCAAAAGCACAGCUGUUCGUUUAGGCAGUUUUUGAUGUCAAUUAUUUUGACCUAGUGAAAACCAGGCAUUAGUACGAGUACAUACUUGUGGCAUAUUAGCAUAAAAAAAUGGAAUACACGGUGAAAGGAUAACAUAUACGUCCAUCGAUGCUGUGGUAAAUCAAGACGAAGUUGUAAACUAUCCAAUUAAAUUCUUGAAUUCGAUUGAUUUGCCAUCAAAACGCUGUAAUGUCACAAUUUUUUCGAAAUAAACAAAAGUAAUGACUGAAAAAAUAUUAGUGUUUUUGGUGCAGUAUUAUUGUUAGUUAAUAUUAAUAUUUAUUUUUAUAAUACACAUGAAAGUGUAGUUUUCUUCAAGAAGAUUAUUUGAUAUAGUUAUAGAUUUACAUACAUAUGUAUGUAAAUAGAAAUGAUGAAUAUUACGAGUCUAGUUGAAUUCCGGGCUGGGAUUUAGAAUAGCAUCCCCGGAUUUCGGGAGUAAAAUGGGUAUCACUGGAAAGGUGACAUUCUCCAGAUCUCCAAAUAUAUACAGGUAUCCCUCGAAUAACACGGUUAAUUGGUUCCGUGUUAUUCGAAAUCGUGUUAUUUGAAAUUUAAAAGGUAAAACUUUAUAAACGCAAUAAUUUUUAAAUUACAUAUGUUCAACCACUGUCACUCUCCAAAGAUUGAUUUGUUUUUCCUUGAAGAGGUAGAGGAUCCUUAAAUUUCAAUUUUUAAAAGGAAUUUUCGCGGCUUCGUGUAAUUCGAACCCCGUGUUAUUCGAGGGUUGUCGCAAUUUUUAACCGUGCUAUUCGAGAUUUCGUGCAACUCAAGUACCGUGCUAUUCGAGGGAUACCUGUAUAUAUA
Molecule: long non-coding RNA, 5685 nt
Organism: Bactrocera dorsalis (oriental fruit fly)
Lineage: Eukaryota; Metazoa; Arthropoda; Insecta; Diptera; Tephritidae
Exons: 3
Source: RefSeq, a predicted model, not a curated record